AUUAACUUCUCGAUCAGGGAGAAAGCAGCCUCGUCAGGCGGAGGGAAUGGCUCCUGAAGGGUUGAGUGUAUCAGAUGGUGUACUGUGUUAGAGUGAUGCUGAGUGUUCAUGUUUGAAGCUGUGUGUCUUUUGUGAGGAACACCCCAGUGCUUCAGGAAGAAAGGCUGUUACUCACUGGAAAUACAGUCUACAUGGCCCAGUGAGCCCAUACCAGCAUGCAUUGAGGCUCUGACUCUAUUGAAGCUAACCAUG
Long non-coding RNA from Rhincodon typus (whale shark), 252 nucleotides. RefSeq lists it as uncharacterized. The record is from RefSeq and is a predicted model, not a curated record. Lineage: Eukaryota; Metazoa; Chordata; Chondrichthyes; Orectolobiformes; Rhincodontidae. The transcript has 3 exons.